RNAcentral lists this ribosomal RNA (424 nucleotides) under Verrucomicrobiota bacterium. Its description in RNAcentral is "Verrucomicrobia bacterium partial 16S ribosomal RNA". It matches the Rfam family "Bacterial small subunit ribosomal RNA", at positions 355 to 776 of the family's 1533-position model. The record is from RNAcentral. Lineage: Bacteria; Pseudomonadati; Verrucomicrobiota.
UGAGGAAUAUUGGUCAAUGGGCGUGAGCCUGAACCAGCCAAGUAGCGUGCAGGAAGACGGCCCUAUGGGUUGUAAACUGCUUUUAUGCGGGGAUAAAGGAGUCCACGUGUGGAUUUUUGCAGGUACCGCAUGAAUAAGGACCGGCUAAUUCCGUGCCAGCAGCCGCGGUAAUACGGAAGGUCCGGGCGUUAUCCGGAUUUAUUGGGUUUAAAGGGAGCGUAGGCCGCGUUUUAAGCGUGUUGUGAAAUGUAGACGCCCAACGUCUGCAUCGCAGCGCGAACUGGGACGCUUGAGUACGCGCAACGUUGGCGGAAUUCGUCGUGUAGCGGUGAAAUGCUUAGAUAUGACGGGGAACUCCGAUUGCGAAGGCAGCUGACGGGAGCGGCACUGACGCUUAAGCUCGAAGGUGCGGGUAUCAAACAGG